RNAcentral lists this ribosomal RNA (432 nucleotides) under Triticum aestivum (bread wheat). RNAcentral describes it as "partial small subunit ribosomal RNA". The record is from RNAcentral. Lineage: Eukaryota; Viridiplantae; Streptophyta; Magnoliopsida; Poales; Poaceae.
AUGAAAAAAAUAUUCAAACGACCAGAGGGACGUGUUAAACAAUUUGAGGCGAGGUGGUUGAAAGAAGAGACGGUCACUGAAAUUGUUAAGGCAUCUUGGGAGAAAGCAAAGCUUGCGGGGAUUGGACCUUCACUUGCUGAUCGUACGAGAGCAGUGCAUGCCGAUUUGCAUACUUGGGAUCGGGAAACUCUAAAGGGACCGAAAGUGAGAAUUAGGAAAUUGAAAAAAGAAUUGGAGAAACUAAGACGAGGCCCUCUGGAUACGGAAUCUCGAUGUCGCCAGAAGGAAAUUAUUGUGGUAAUUGAGAAUAUUUUGGAUCAAGAGGAAGUUUUCUGGUUACAAAGAGGACGGGCGAACUGGUUGAUGCAUGGGGAUCAUAAUACAGCUUUCUUUCACAACGCUGCCACGGCCAGAAAAAAAGAAAUAAUAUAA